AGGAAACAUAGAUUUAAUUACUCUGCAGAUUUCUUUGUGCUGUGUCGUGAGCAAUCCUUUUCCUCCGGUUCUGGCAAUGGGUCCAGAAUGGAAAAUCAGUUCUGUUUGGAAAACCAACAUUUCCGUUGAAAUGAAAGGAGCCAAAUCACACCAAGCACGUUUUAACAGAUGCACUUACAAAAUUUCAGUUCUGCACAAACAGGUCAGAACUGGUCAUCAAAGAUUACAAAUGGAUCCUGGUACCAAAAAGGGUCGACAGCUACUGCUAUAGAAGAGAGCAACGGUGUUGAAAACAUGGAACACAUAAAUAAAGUUGUGGACACAGCCCAGCGCAUCGCGGACACCAGCCUCCCCUCCUUGGACUCUGUCUUUACCUCUCGUUGUCUUGGUGAAGCAGCCAGCAUAAUCAAAGACCCCACACACCCGGGACAUUCUCUCUUCUCUCCUCUUCCAUCGGGUAGAAGAUACAGGAGCCUGAGGGCACGUACCACCAUACUUAAGGACAGCUUCUACCCCACUGUGAUAAGACUAUUCAAUGGUUCCCUUAUA
This is a long non-coding RNA of Pristis pectinata (smalltooth sawfish), 549 nucleotides long. RefSeq lists it as uncharacterized. Lineage: Eukaryota; Metazoa; Chordata; Chondrichthyes; Rhinopristiformes; Pristidae. The record is from RefSeq and is a predicted model, not a curated record. The transcript has 4 exons.